RNAcentral lists this ribosomal RNA (1278 nucleotides) under uncultured bacterium. Its description in RNAcentral is "bacterial SSU rRNA". It matches the Rfam family "Bacterial small subunit ribosomal RNA", at positions 8 to 1255 of the family's 1533-position model. The record is from RNAcentral.
AGAGUUUGAUCCUGGCUCAGGAUGAACGCUGGCGGCGUGCUUAACACAUGCAAGUCGAACGAUGACUUUUGUGCUUGCACAAAAUGAUUAGUGGCGAACGGGUGAGUAACACGUGAGUAACCUGCCCUUAACUUCGGGAUAAGCCUGGGAAACCGGGUCUAAUACCGGAUACGACGGAUUCCCGCAUGGGGGUCCGUGGAAAGCUUGAUGCGGUUUUGGAUGGACUCGCGUGUGAGGUGGAGCCUAUAAUGGCCCACCAAGGCGACGACGGGUAGCCGGCCUGAGAGGGUGACCGGCCACACUGGGACUGAGACACGGCCCAGACUCCUACGGGAGGCAGCAGUGGGGAAUAUUGCACAAUGGGCGAAAGCCUGAUGCAGCGACGCCGCGUGAGGGACGAAGGCCUUCGGGUUGUAAACCUCUUUCAGCAGGGAAGAAGCGAAAGUGACGGUACCUGCAGAAGAAGCGCCGGCUAACUACGUGCCAGCAGCCGCGGUAAUACGUAGGGCGCAAGCGUUAUCCGGAAUUAUUGGGCGUAAAGAGCUCGUAGGCGGUUUGUCGCGUCUGCUGUGAAAGCCCGGGGCUCAACCAGCUAGUUGGUUGGGGUCCCGGGUCUGCAGUGGGUACGGGCAGACUAGAGUGCAGUAGGGGAGACUGGAAUUCCUGGUGUAGCGGUGAAAUGCGCAGAUAUCAGGAGGAACACCGAUGGCGAAGGCAGGUCUCUGGGCUGUAACUGACGCUGAGGAGCGAAAGCAUGGGGAGCGAACAGGAUUAGAUACCCUGGUAGUCCAUGCCGUAAACGUUGGGCACUAGGUGUGGGGGACAUUCCACGUUUUCCGCGCCGUAGCUAACGCAUUAAGUGCCCCGCCUGGGGAGUACGGCCGCAAGGCUGCUAAUCCCCAGUUCAAAACUCAAAGGAAUUGAAAAAAGCCGGUCUCGGGGGCCCGCACAAGCGGCGGAGCAUGCGGAUUAAUUCGAUGCAACGCGAAGAACCUUACCAAGGCUUGACAUGAACCGGAAAGGCCUGGAAACAGGUCCCCCACUUGUGGCCGGUUUACAGGUGGUGCAUGGUUGUCGUCAGCUCGUGUCGUGAGAUGUUGGGUUAAGUCCCGCAACGAGCGCAACCCUCGUUCUAUGUUGCCAGCGGGUUAUGCCGGGGACUCAUAGGAGACUGCCGGGGUCAACUCGGAGGAAGGUGGGGACGACGUCAAAUCAUCAUGCCCCUUAUGUCUUGGGCUUCACGCAUGCUACAAUGGCCGGUACAAAGGGUUGCGAUAC